UGGUUCAGUGGUAGAAUCCUUGUCUACCAACAGGAGACCUGGGUUCAAUUCCCAG
This 55-nucleotide transfer RNA is filed under the name Alligator mississippiensis (American alligator). It matches the Rfam family "tRNA", at positions 8 to 63 of the family's 71-position model. Rfam says of the family: Transfer RNA (tRNA) molecules are approximately 80 nucleotides in length. Their secondary structure includes four short double-helical elements and three loops (D, anti-codon, and T loops). Further hydrogen bonds mediate the characteristic L-shaped molecular structure. tRNAs have two regions of fundamental functional importance: the anti-codon, which is responsible for specific mRNA codon recognition, and the 3' end, to which the tRNAs corresponding amino acid is attached (by aminoacyl-tRNA synthetases). tRNAs cope with the degeneracy of the genetic code in two manners: having more than one tRNA (with a specific anti-codon) for a particular amino acid; and 'wobble' base-pairing, i.e. permitting non-standard base-pairing at the 3rd anti-codon position. The record is from Rfam by way of RNAcentral. RNAcentral also lists the same sequence under 1 other name. Lineage: Eukaryota; Metazoa; Chordata; Crocodylia; Alligatoridae.